This 57-nucleotide transfer RNA is filed under the name Clostridia bacterium. Its description in RNAcentral is "tRNA-Gln". It matches the Rfam family "tRNA", at positions 10 to 63 of the family's 71-position model. From Rfam's summary of the family: Transfer RNA (tRNA) molecules are approximately 80 nucleotides in length. Their secondary structure includes four short double-helical elements and three loops (D, anti-codon, and T loops). Further hydrogen bonds mediate the characteristic L-shaped molecular structure. tRNAs have two regions of fundamental functional importance: the anti-codon, which is responsible for specific mRNA codon recognition, and the 3' end, to which the tRNAs corresponding amino acid is attached (by aminoacyl-tRNA synthetases). tRNAs cope with the degeneracy of the genetic code in two manners: having more than one tRNA (with a specific anti-codon) for a particular amino acid; and 'wobble' base-pairing, i.e. permitting non-standard base-pairing at the 3rd anti-codon position. The record is from RNAcentral. Lineage: Bacteria; Bacillati; Bacillota; Clostridia.
CGCCAAGCGGUAAGGCAACGGAUUUUGAUUCCGUCAUUCGUAGGUUCAAAUCCUGCC